RNAcentral lists this RNase P RNA (347 nucleotides) under Methanoculleus sp. Its description in RNAcentral is "RNase P RNA component". It matches the Rfam family "Archaeal RNase P". From Rfam's summary of the family: Ribonuclease P (RNase P) is a ubiquitous endoribonuclease, found in archaea, bacteria and eukarya as well as chloroplasts and mitochondria. Its best characterised activity is the generation of mature 5'-ends of tRNAs by cleaving the 5'-leader elements of precursor-tRNAs. The record is from RNAcentral. Lineage: Archaea; Methanobacteriati; Methanobacteriota; Methanomicrobia; Methanomicrobiales; Methanomicrobiaceae.
GAGAGGGAGAGCGCGGCCGACGGUGGCACAUCUUGUGCCGCUGAGGAAAGUCCUUCCACCGGCCAGACACGCAGCCGCACCCAAGUGCGGGUGGCGAGAGUCACGGCAAUGACACAGAAACGACACGGCCCGCCGUCAGUGAUGAAACGAUCGAGCCCACACACCGCGGGCGAGCGGCGCGGGUUUAUUCCCGCGCAACUCGUUGAACGCAGCGGCGGGAAACGAUGAAACGGUGAAUCCCUGCGGGUGCAAGCCAGAAUAGGGCAUAUGGACUGUCUGGCGUCCGCCCGGGUAUGGCGCUUAGCUGAAUGCCGCACCAAACAGAAGAAGGCUUACUCCUCCCACUC